This 257-nucleotide ribosomal RNA is filed under the name uncultured bacterium. RNAcentral's name for it is "partial 16S ribosomal RNA". It matches the Rfam family "Bacterial small subunit ribosomal RNA", at positions 99 to 353 of the family's 1533-position model. The record is from RNAcentral.
CGGACGGGUGAGUAACGCGUGGGUAACCUGCCCUGUACAGGGGGAUAACAGUCAGAAAUGACUGCUAAUACCGCAUAAGACCACAGCACCGCAUGGUGCAGGGGUAAAAACUACCGGUGGUACAGGAUGGACCCGCGUCUGAUUAGCUGGUUGGUGAGGUAACGGCUCACCAAGGCGACGAUCAGUAGCCGGCUUGAGAGAGUGAACGGCCACAUUGGGACUGAGACACGGUCCAGACUCCUACGGGAGGCAGCAUG